Molecule: ribosomal RNA, 370 nt
Filed under: Holandriana holandrii
Lineage: Eukaryota; Metazoa; Mollusca; Gastropoda; Amphimelaniidae
Description: partial small subunit ribosomal RNA
Source: RNAcentral
UCUUAAAUGUAAAUUGAUUGUUUUCUACCAGAGUACUAUGAAUAUUAAAUUUAAAACUCAAAGAACUUGGCGGUGCUUUAGACUCCUCAGGGGAACCUGUUUCAUAAUCGACAGUCCACGCGAGAUCUUUCCUUUCCUUGCUAUCAGUUUGUAUACCGUCGUCGUCAGGCAACUUUUAAAAAUAUUAGAAGUUGGCGAUUAAGUUCAAUAAACUUUUACGUCAGAUCAAGGUGCAGCCUAUGGAAAGGUGAGAAUGGGUUACAAUUAGUAAUAAUAAUUACGGAAAUAAAAUGCAAUUUUUGAAGUGAAGGCGGACUUGAAAGUAAGGAUAUAAUAAUACAAAUUUCCUGAAUUUAGCUCUGAAGCGUGC